Molecule: transfer RNA, 72 nt
Filed under: Candidatus Omnitrophota bacterium
Lineage: Bacteria; Pseudomonadati; Candidatus Omnitrophota
Also listed under: 1 other name
Description: Candidatus Omnitrophica bacterium tRNA-Ile
Rfam family: tRNA
About the family: Transfer RNA (tRNA) molecules are approximately 80 nucleotides in length. Their secondary structure includes four short double-helical elements and three loops (D, anti-codon, and T loops).
Source: RNAcentral
GGGCCUAUAGCUCAGCGGUAGAGCAGCGGACUCAUAAUCCGUUGGUCGCAGGUUCGAUCCCUGCUGGGCCCA